This 496-nucleotide small RNA is filed under the name Malus domestica (apple). RNAcentral's name for it is "sRNA MD10G0236300". The record is from RNAcentral. Lineage: Eukaryota; Viridiplantae; Streptophyta; Magnoliopsida; Rosales; Rosaceae.
CUCCUGCGAGAGAGAACCUCGCUCAACCUCGAUCCUCGACGUGCUCCCUCCUUGCCCUGCUCCCUCAUCGUCGUCCUCCUCAUCAUCAUCUCUGCGUCUUGCUCGCCCUUAACUCCAUCCUGCUCGCCCUCAUCUGGAACCCAUCUGUAGUAUUUUAAGAGAAGAUGAGAAGAUUUCACGUGCGUAAGAAGAGGAGCAUAAACGGAAGGCUAAGGCCUAAGGCUACUGGAUUUUGUAAAUUAUGGAGAUCUACUUUGGAAUGCUAUACUAUAGUUCACUGGCAUUUUGUAAAAUAUCCUGGAUGAAAGUUUAGUGAAUGAUGUUUUAAGAGUCAAUCAAUGGCAAAGAUUGACUUGUCACAAGUAUCUUCUUAUGUACUUGUAUUUGUUGAAGUUGCAUGUAUUGGGCACUAUUCUUUUUCUUAUUUUGGGUGAUAGAGUUUAAAUCAAGUUACAUUUGCAAAUUAAACUCAACUAUUUAUAAAUAGUAUGUCCCA